This is a long non-coding RNA of Gasterosteus aculeatus aculeatus (three-spined stickleback), 2516 nucleotides long. Lineage: Eukaryota; Metazoa; Chordata; Actinopteri; Perciformes; Gasterosteidae. The record is from Ensembl.
ACGUUAAAAAAAAACAUUUGUGCUGAAAAUUUCAAUUCCUGUUGUUUCACAGAGUUCUGCUGCCCAAGUUAAACAUUUAAAUCAGAUUUGUGAACUGUGCAUCAAACCACCGCUUCGAUAACCAAACUGGCCAGUGUGUGGAUGCAAUACCUCCAUGGAACGGAAAUAUGUAAACGUUGCUUUUAGAAAAAUUUCAGAAAGACAGAGAGCAAAGGGUCUGUUUCCCCAGUGAAUCCCCUGGGCAGGCUGACAAAUUUCCCCUUGGGGAUUAAUAAAGUGUAUUGGCAAAGGCAAUACAUGGAUUGAAAGAGCUGCAACACAAAUUGUUCAUUUGGUGAAAAGGCACAGAAAGCUUAAACUGGUGUUUUUGAUCCAGGGCUGAUGUAAAACCCUUCUUGAAUGGAUCAAUCUUUCAUACAACACUAUGUUCAGACUUAUCCACUUGUAGUUACACAAAUACAAAUGAGUAUUUAUUCUGACACAUGUCUUUGAUAUUUUGCUGAUUUAUUUAAAGCUGUAUUUAGCCUCUUAAACAUACACAUUAAACACACAAACUGCACCACACUCACUUCAGUUAGAUUUGGCCAGAGACUUACCACAGGGCUGUGUGGUGCAAAAUAAUAAAAAUACAUUUUCAGUGAUUAAUACCCUACUCUUCCAGCCUUUGGAAAACUGAAGCCCACACUAAAUCAUGUCCUGAAUCUAUUAAAAAUAAUUGAUUUUGUAGGAUAGACAGAGUAAGAGAGAGAGAGGCAGUGAGAGAGAGAGAAACCGCAGAGAUGGAGACGGAUGAAAAUGAGAAGGGAGAGAAACAGACUAAUAAAGUUGUCGCCUCUCGUCGUUAAUUCGACAAUUUGACACAAAGAAACCCGCCAGAGGUUUUACACAAGCAUGCUUAAACGCACAGACCAGUUUGGUCAGAAGUUUGAAUAAUGCAGCGUAUUUCUGACACUGGGCCUCGGCCGUGUAGCCUCUCUGAUGCAAUGCGUUGUCUUUGAUGAUGACGGAGGCCUGUCGGCUCCGGUCAUGACGGAUGGGAGAAGAACAAGAGGAGGAGCCUUCAAGGCAAAGCUCUUCACUGAACUCAAUAAGCCAAGAAUGGGUGAGUCUUCAAAGAUUGACGGAUCUUCUUUUCAAUCUUAGAAAUUGUGUGUGUGUCAGUGCAUGAUCAAUGAUAUUAUGACAUUAACAUCUCUCUGUGUUCGGAUGUGUAUGUGCUUUGGCUCCAGACAAAACGGUAGAGAACUGUGGGAUUUUGCCAUUUAGAUUGUGUCCGUGGUGUCAAUGUUUGAUAUGAAUUUCUACAGACAUGUAUGAUUGAUCUUUUUGGCGUGCUGAUGGUUUCUAAUCCUGACGCAGUUAUUCGCAGGGUUCGGUAUUUUUCUCUUGACUGUUCGCCAACUAACAUUUUCAGACUCAUCAGUCAGUACUUUGUGAUGUACUUUCAGUAGAGGACCUCAGGAGGUCUGGCUCUCUGCAGGAGGCUCAGGGGUUGAUAGUGAUGAAAUCCAACGAAAAGACAGCAGCAGCUCUGCACUACGGAUACAGUAAAUCCCACAAUCUGCUCCUUGCAAAGCACUCAACUCUUGUUCAAAUCCUGCCCCUCCUAUUUCUCAGAAACUUUUUAAACUGUUUGGUGGAUCUAAUUUUAACAACAAUACCAAAGAGGUUAUGCUUUUGGCCCUAGUCAAAUACAAAGGUAAUUUUAUGAAAUAUUAUAAACCAGUAGGCCUCAAGCGAUGGAACGAUUGAUUAAUUAUUUUUAAUAACGCUCAGCUGUUGAGCCGUUUCACCAUGACAUAAACUAAUUCCAGAAAGGGUGUAAGUUCGAUUCCCUCCUUUUUCUAUCUUACAUUUGUUUUACCCUCAGUGUGGCUAUUAUUAUAGUUCCCAACUCAAGGCAUUAACAUCUUUAAUUAAGAUAACAUAAUCAUUAGCGCGGCCGCCUUAGUCCACGACUCUAUUGUUAUUUGAAUGUCACCUCCUGUAAUUAGCCCCCGGUUUGGGAAUCAGCCAUCAAUUUUGUGGCGAGACUUGCUUUGUAUCCCGCUGUUCAGACGAGAUGUUAUUCACAGAAGGAUUAACUCAUGAGACUUGACUGGUUUAUGUCACUGCAGAUGGAGUGACCUUUCGGCUUUCCUGGUUAUAUUUUCCUGAGAAGACGAUCAUUUGUUGUACCGUAACUGAACAAUGGCCUGUAAAAACAACAAAGAGUGCCAGAAACAAUUUAAGUAACUGCACACCAGCUCCAUUGUUGGAAUCGGCCACAUUCAAGUUGGCAGAACAAAAAAGUGAUACGAAGUGAUUUCAUUAUUCUAACAUUGUGAUUGGUAAUCAGGCAGUUACAUUGGGUGACCAUUGAUCACCCAAUCACAGUGACUGUCCUUUGAGGGAUAAGGCCAUCGUUGUGGACCUAAGAAGCUUGGAUAUAUAGAUUCUCCUUAAUCAUCUGUUCUAUUCAUAAUUAGCUACGGAUGAAAUUCGAAACUGUCGUAUCUCGAAUCUUUCAGCCAUAA